This is a long non-coding RNA of Helianthus annuus (common sunflower), 2993 nucleotides long. RefSeq lists it as uncharacterized. The record is from RefSeq and is a predicted model, not a curated record. Lineage: Eukaryota; Viridiplantae; Streptophyta; Magnoliopsida; Asterales; Asteraceae. The transcript has 5 exons.
AAUUGAUAUAGGGUUCCACCCACGGGUUCAAGGUAAUUAAGUUCUUAACUCACCAAGCCAUGGCGUCAUGUACAAUCUUAGCCCGAAGGAUUGCGGCGGAGCUUUGUUCCUCGUGUAAAUAGUAAGGGUUUCAUCAUCAUUAGGGCUGGAGUCGACGAAUAAAAUAAAAGAGCAGUCAAAAGUCAACAACUGGGAUGUGUAUGGUUUUAGAUUCUCCUUUAGCAUACAACCUUAUCCAGAUAAAGAUUGAAGUCAUAUGUUUUGUUAAUUAGGUCUCAAAUUGAAACCUCGAAGGAAAUGAAGUGGAGCUCGGGUUGGUAAGUCGUUCAUCAUCGAUCAUUAGGUAACAAUUCACAAUCUCAAGUCACCUAACUGACUCGCCAUUUCAAAAUUUUAUCAAUUAAUACCUAGAAGAUGUAUAUGGUUGGGUUUGAGAUACUCCAUGAAACCAGUUUUGAAAUUAUGAUUUUCGCAAAGUAAUCGGCAAGUGGGUUGGAGAAGGAAAACCUUCAGUUGUACCAGUUCUAGACUAGUGUGUUACAAGUUUUUAACAUUACGAUUUCUAAUAAUAUUGCAAAUGAUCAUUGUCAUUUGGAUUACCUUACUUUGAUCCUUAUUCUUUUCUUUUAUGUUUUACAAGUACAAUUAUGACAAUCUUAAAGAACAGAGUGAAAAGUAUUUAGAUAGCUGGAAGCUAAAAGAGAUCAUUGCCACUAAAGUUGUACUUGGUGGUUACUUAAGCUUCAAUGACACUUUUAUUCUUCUGGAUCAUGAAUGAUACCGACUUUUUCUCUGGUGAGUAACACAUGGCCAUAGUAUCUUCAAGAAAUUUGGCUCUUUUUUUCCUGCACUUUCUGUAGCAAAACGCAAAAACCAUAAGAAUCGAUCAACACCAAUUCAAAACUUGCAAAAUGGAAACAAGCCCGACAACUAUUGAUAAACAAGAAGCUGUUAUAACCUACAAUGAAGAUAUUUCCUGGGCUAAGGCGAAGCAUUAUGAGAAUGAAUAACUGAAAGAAAGGUGUGCUAAGCUUCUUUUAGGAUAAGAUAUCUUGUGGAAUAACAUAUGUCAGGUGGUGGCAAAGGCACUUCAUCUGCUUUGGCUUUAUAAAAUGCCAUUCAAAUCUUGCUGGUGCUCUUUAUUUGUGAUUAAAAAGUUGUUUAAUUAAAUGGUUUUUGUUCAUUUUUAAUGUUUUUUUGGUUAAACUUCUUAAUCUUUAUCUAAAAAGAUGUUUAAUUUAAUGAUUUUUGUUGUUAAUUUUUCAAUGUUUUUUAGUUAAAUUUGUAGCUUCUGCGAUUAGAGAGCAGCAUAAAGUGCUCUAAUGUUGGAAGAUAGGAAAACAAGAUGGGUAAGAAAAGAUGGUCAGAACGGGUCAAAUUUAGAGAGCAGCAUAAAGUGCUCUAAUGUUACCACUUUGUAGUCUUCAGAACUGGUCAAAUUUACCAUCUUUUAGUAAACGGGUCAAGGUACCGCGUUUGUAAACGGGUAAAAAUUAACAUUUUUUUAAGCGGGUCAAGAUUACAAUUUAUAGUAACCGGAUUAAAUUAUCACUUUUAGGUGACCGGGUCACAUGAGCAUUUUGGUAAAAGGGACAACAUUACCAUUUUUGCGGAUGGGACAAAAUUACCAUCUUUAGUAAAGGGGUCAGGUUUACCGUGUUAGUAAGGGGUGAAGGUUACCGUUUUUAGUAAGCGGGUCAGAAGGAGAUACUUUAUUAAACGCGCCAAACUCAUCCUUUUUGGUAAUCAGGUCAAACUCUUUUUUUUGUAGUAAAUGAGUCAAAAUACCAUUUUUUGGUGAACUGGUCAAAAUUAUAAUUUUAGUAAACAUGUCAAAAUUGUCGCUCUUAGUAAGCGAGUCAAAUUCAUCGUUUUUAGUAAUCGAGUCAAAUUACCAUUUUUAGUGAACGGGUCGAAAUUAUAAUUUCAGUAAACGGGUCAAACAUAUCAUAUUUAGUAAACACGUGGGUCGAAAUUGUAAUUUUAGUAAACGGGUCAAACAUAUCAUAUUUAGUAAACACGUGGGUCAAAAUUAUAACUUUAGAAAACGGGUCAAACAUGUUUAGGCACACCGGAACUUUAAUGGGUUUUUUAUAACAUUUAUUGAUCAGCAUGCACUAUAUAAUGGGGAGCAUCAAUCAGAAGAUAAAAAAGAAAAAGGGGCCAAAACUUUAUAUGCUCUAGGAAACCGAAGCAACAAGCACCUAGUGGCAUGGGAAGAAUUUGAAGCGCCCGAUGUCGGCUGAUCUCACGCAUGUGAUGUGACCAAUGAAGAUUAGUGAGUGUCUCUUUUUUUAGUUACAUACUUUGAGGAUAAAUCGUGCAACUGUGGGUUUCAGGUCAUUUGUGAUGAUGAUGUGAGGGAAAAUAUACCUGCUAUGGUUUCUUGCAAUGAGGAUACACAAGUAAUUGCUACCAAAAUAUGGUUAAUAAACAGUACGAUAAAACCUUGUGUUUUAACAAGGUAUUAUUUAAUUUUUCUAUUGUUUGUGUAAAUAUCUAAACUUGGCUCUUAAAAUUUUUAUUUUUAGUACCAUACAUUGGUGGGAAACUGUUUGAUUUGCUUGAUGACCAUUUUCUUGCUUUUGAAGUCAAUUUGAGUCAGGUUAUGGUGUGCUUGGGCAGGGUUGGAGGUACAAGUAGGAGGGGUUGAAGCCAUGAAAUUUGUUGAAAAAUGGCAAGAACCUAAGGGAUUUAAUUUUUACUAGAUUACAUUGUGGGAACAAUUAAUUUGGUCUGCGCAGUGUUAAUGAAAAGACAUAGAAGCUAAGGAUGAGAAUUGGCAGGGGGCUGGCUUUGAGAGACUAGAGAAAACUUUCAUUUGGAGCAAGACACCAACUGACAUAGUGGAGUAUAUGGCAAGAUGAGUCUGUGUGAGUGCUAAUAAUAUUAAUAUUCCUAGAAGGUCAUUACAGUGGUGGAAGUUUUUAAAGAUUACAAGAGAAUUAUUAUUAUUUUAGCUGCAAUUUGCGUGUUAAUAUUGAUUUAUUACU